GGGCUGGUGCUCUCGUUCAGAUAGAUUUAGCUGGUGGUGCAGAGAUCCGUGAGCUUGCUUUUACAGGACUUUAAUGAUAUAUAAAAGCAGCACGAGGUGCUCCUGACUGUGGAUUAAUUUGGAGAUGACUUUCUCUGUUGAAGAGUAGCAAGACUCUCGCGAGUUCUUAAAAAUGCACUUGUUUGGUAUGAGAAUGAAAAGCAGUGGCUGAAGAACCAAUCUUCAAUGGGCAAGCCUUCUCUGUGUCUGUUCUAACACGUGCCAUUUGGGAUCCCUUGGAAUCUUCAUGUACAGAACUGGUUGCUGCCUCGUUGAGUCGGUGGGGACAGAAUAGCUCCUGGUUGACAGCAUGGGUUGUGCAGAAGGACGGAUCCUGCAGACAUCAAUAUCUGGCUUUGAGUGGCACAAAGAAAUAAAGGAAUGUGGAUUCAGACCUCACUGGGAUGCUUGGCAAUUCUAAUUCUACCCCAGACUGCAAAUGGACACACAACUGUUGUGACUUUUGUUGAAGAGGAGAAGGAUGGGUGAGCAUGUGACGUUGGGAAAUUGUAUUUUCUUCUUCGAGUUCUUCUGUUUCCGAAUAUUUAAUCCUACUGUUUUCUUCUUUAGUGAAGGUCUCUUUAGUCAAUAAUCUCUUUGCUGAAAUUGCUUCGGGCAGCACAGAAGCUGGAUUCAGAAGCACACAGGUCUGGGGAUGCAGGCUUCGGCCAGCCUGAUGCAAGGAAAGACUGCCAUCUCGUGGUCAGCUCAAUCCUGGCACCUUGGUGAGGGACCAGGCUGCAGAAAACCAGGCUUGGGGAGGAAACGGUGCUGCAAACUGGAUUUCUGCCGGACAGUGUGGAUGCCCUUAGAAAACACCCAGAAAAGAGCUGAGUGCCCCCCAAGGUGCCUCGGAGUGGGAUUGCUGAGUCACACAGUAAGUGUAUGUUUCACUUUUUAAAAGCUGUCAAGCCUCUUCCAGAGCAGCCAAGCCAGUCUGCGUUUCCACCAGCAAUUUCUGAGAGUUCCAGUUGCUCUGCGUCCUUGCCAGUGCUUGGUAUUGCCAGGUUUUUUAUUUUUUAACCCAUUCUAAAAUAUGUUUAGUGCCCCCCAUUUUUUUUAUCUUUGUAAAUGUUAUAGGUGAAUUUUAAAAGUCAAUCUCAAUAUAUAUUGGCUGUUAAUAAUACUAUUAAUACCUAUUACUGUUAAUAAUGCUAAUAAGUAACUAUCAAAUCUCAUAGAUGAAAAAGAUGAUUUAUGAUCUUUAAAAUUUUGCAUUUUUAUUAUUAGGAAAGUCAGAAGGGCUCAAUUUUAAACAGAGAGAGAAGCGGAUAGAGAAGUGUGUUCUUGCCUGAAGGUGUCUUUCAUCUUGGGCUGCCUCUAUCUAUUUCUGGGAUCACUGGCGGCCCUUGUACUCCUAUCCUCAGCUCUUUCUGUAGGCUUUUUCAUUUCAUUGAGGACAUGGAUGGGAAAGAAUGUCCAGCCCAUUCUCUCUCCCUCUUUUGAUUAAAAGGAGGGGAGGCAGAAGUGGAAAGGGCAAAACCAAUUACAGGUUGUAGCGUACACUAUCCAAAGCAAUGUAUACAUUCAGUGAAAUCCCUAUCAAAACACCAAUGACAUUCUUUAGAGAAGCAGAAAAAAAUAAUCCUAAAAUAAUAUGUGGAACCACAAAAGACCAAAAUAGCCAAAGUUGUCCUGAGCGAAAAAACAAUCCUGGAGGAAUCACAUUACCUGACUUGAAAUUGUACUACAGGGCUAUAGUAACCAAAACAGCAUGGUACUGGUAUAAAAACAGACACAUAGACUAAUGGAACAGAAUAGAGAACCCAGAAAUAAAUCCAGACAUGGUCAGUGAACUCAUUUUCGACAAAGGUGCCAAGAACAUACACUGGGUAAAGAACAGUCUCUUCAAUAAAUGGUGCUGGGAAAACUGGCUAUCCAUGUGCAGAAGAAUGAGACUAGACCCCUGUCACUUUCUACCCACAAAAAUCAAACCAAAAUGGAUUAAAGACAAAU
Molecule: long non-coding RNA, 1995 nt
Organism: Homo sapiens (human)
Lineage: Eukaryota; Metazoa; Chordata; Mammalia; Primates; Hominidae
Product: long intergenic non-protein coding RNA 1727
Source: Ensembl